CAUGGUAGAGACGCGGCGUACGGCUCAGUAACAUGUGGCUAACCUACCCUUAGGACGGAGGCAACCCCGGGAAACUGGGGCUAAUACCCGGUAGAUUAGGAGGCCUGGAAUGGUUUCUAGUCGAAAAGGCGUUGAAACCAUGCUUUUCGACGUCGCCUAAGGAUGGGGCCGCACCUGAUCAGGUUGUUGGUGGGGUAACGGCUCACCAAGCCUAUAACCGGUACGGGCCGUGAGAGCGGGAGCCCGGAGAUGGGCACUGAGACAAGGGCCCAGGCCCUACGGGGCGCAGCAGUCGCGAAAACUCCGCAAUGCGCGAAAGCGUGACGGGGCUACCCCGAGUGCCGUCCGCUGAGGAUGGCUUUUCCCCGGUGUAAUGAGCCGAGGGAAUAAGGAGAGGGCAAGACUGGUGUCAGCCGCCGCGGUAAUACCAGCUCUC
This 436-nucleotide ribosomal RNA is filed under the name uncultured archaeon. Its description in RNAcentral is "bacterial SSU rRNA". It matches the Rfam family "Archaeal small subunit ribosomal RNA", at positions 66 to 484 of the family's 1478-position model. The record is from RNAcentral.